RNAcentral lists this ribosomal RNA (245 nucleotides) under uncultured bacterium. RNAcentral describes it as "partial 16S ribosomal RNA". It matches the Rfam family "Bacterial small subunit ribosomal RNA", at positions 524 to 767 of the family's 1533-position model. The record is from RNAcentral.
UACGGAGGGGGCUAGCGUUGUUCGGAAUUACUGGGCGUAAAGGGCGCGUAGGCGGUGCGAUAAGUCAGGCGUGAAAGGCCCGGGCUCAACCCGGGGACUGCGCUUGAUACUGUUGCGCUGUGAGUCCGGGAGAGGAUGGCGGAAUUCCCAGUGUAGAGGUGAAAUUCGUAGAUAUUGGGAAGAACACCGGUGGCGAAGGCGGCCAUCUGGACCGGCACUGACGCUGAGGCGCGAAAGCGUGGGGA